AACGAACGCUGGCGGCAGGCUUAACACAUGCAAGUCGAACGCGAAAUCACCUUCGGGUGGUGGAGAGUGGCAGACGGGUGAGUAACGCGUGGAUAAUCUACCCAAUGAUCUGGGAUAACAUCUCGAAAGGGGUGCUAAUACCGGAUAAGACCACGGGAUCUCUGGAUUCUGCGGUAAAAGGUGGGGACCUUCGGGCCUACCGUCAUCGGAUGAGUCCGCGUACCAUUAGCUAGUUGGUGGGGUAAUGGCCUACCAAGGCUACGAUGGUUAGCUGGUCUGAGAGGAUGAUCAGCCACACUGGAACUGAGACACGGUCCAGACUCCUACGGGAGGCUG
Molecule: ribosomal RNA, 336 nt
Filed under: uncultured Pseudomonadota bacterium
Lineage: Bacteria; Pseudomonadati; Pseudomonadota
Description: bacterial SSU rRNA
Rfam family: Bacterial small subunit ribosomal RNA
Source: RNAcentral